Molecule: ribosomal RNA, 403 nt
Filed under: uncultured bacterium
Lineage: Bacteria
Description: partial 16S ribosomal RNA
Rfam family: Bacterial small subunit ribosomal RNA
Source: RNAcentral
AUUGAACGCUGGCGGCAGGCCUAACACAUGACAGUCGAGCGAGCGGCGGACGGGUGAGUAAUGUAUGGGGACUGCCCGAUAGAGGGGGAUAACUACUGGAAACGGAAGAUAAUACCGCAUAGUAUCGGAUAACCCAUAUGGGAUUAGCUAGUAGGUGAGGUAAUGGCUCACCUAGGCGACGCUCCAUAGCUGGUCGGAGAGGAUGAUCAGCCACACUGGGACUGAGACACGGCCCAGACUCCUACGGAGGCAGCAGUGGGGAAUAUUGCACAAGGGGCGCAAGCCUGAUGCAGCCAUGCCGCGUGUAUGAAGAAGGCCCUAGGGUUGUAAAGUACUUUCAGUCGGGAGGCGUUACCGACAGAAGAAGCACCGGCUAACUCCGUGCCAGCAGCCGCGGUAAUAC